RNAcentral lists this ribosomal RNA (685 nucleotides) under Gambierdiscus excentricus. RNAcentral describes it as "partial large subunit ribosomal RNA". It matches the Rfam family "Eukaryotic large subunit ribosomal RNA", at positions 2149 to 2835 of the family's 3401-position model. Lineage: Eukaryota; Dinophyceae; Gonyaulacales; Pyrocystaceae. The record is from RNAcentral.
AAACAAAGUAUUGCGAUGCCCUGAAAGGAUGUUGACACAAUGUGAUUUCUGCCCAGUGCUCUGAAUGUCAAAGUGAGGAGAUUCAACUAAGCGCGGGUAAACGGCGGGAGUAACUAUGACUCUCUUAAGGUAGCCAAAUGCCUCGUCAUCCAAUUAGUGACGCGCAUGAAUGGAUUAAUGAGAUUCCUACUGUCCCAAUCUGCUGUCCAGCGAAACCACAGCCAAGGGAACGGGCUUGGGUGAGUCAGCGGGGAAAGAAGACCCUGUUGAGCUUGACUCUAAUCCGACUUUGUGAAAUGACUUAGGAGGAGUAGGAUAUGUGGGAGCUCAGGUGAUCUUGAAAUACCACUACUUUUAAUGUCACUUUACUUACUCUAUCCAACUGUGCCCUGCCUCACAGCAGGUUUUUGCUUUUAAGGUUGCUCUUUUGGCGUGUUGAUUUGCGUAGAAGACGUCGUCCGGUGGGGAGUUUGGCUGGGGCGGCACAUCUGUUAAAGGAUAACGCAGGUGUCCUAAGGUGAGCUCAAUGAGAACAGAAAUUUCAUGCGGAUCAAAAGGGGAAACGCUUGCUUGAUUUUGCUUUUCAGUGUGAAGAUAAACUGUGCAAACAUGGCCUAUUGAUCCUUUAGGGCUGAAGGAGGUUCAAAUAGAGGUGUCAGAAAAGUUACCACAGGGAUAACUGGCU